AAAUUGAAGAGUUUGAUCAUGGCUCAGAUUGAACGCUGGCGGCAGGCCUAACACAUGCAAGUCGAACGGUAGCACAGAGAGCUUGCUCUCGGGUGACGAGUGGCGGACGGGUGAGUAAUGUCUGGGAAACUGCCUGAUGGAGGGGGAUAACUACUGGAAACGGUGGCUAAUACCGCAUAACGUCGCAAGACCAAAGAGGGGGACCUUCGGGCCUCUUGCCAUCAGAUGUGCCCAGAUGGGAUUAGCUUGUUGGUGAGGUAACGGCU
RNAcentral lists this ribosomal RNA (266 nucleotides) under Salmonella enterica. RNAcentral's name for it is "partial 16S ribosomal RNA". It matches the Rfam family "Bacterial small subunit ribosomal RNA", at positions 1 to 265 of the family's 1533-position model. The record is from RNAcentral. RNAcentral also lists the same sequence under 3 other names. Lineage: Bacteria; Pseudomonadati; Pseudomonadota; Gammaproteobacteria; Enterobacterales; Enterobacteriaceae.